GAUGAACGCUGGCGGCGUGCUUAACACAUGCAAGUCGAACGAUGAAGCCCAGCUUGCUGGGUGGAUUAGUGGCGAACGGGUGAGUAACACGUGAGUAACCUGCCCUUAACUCUGGGAUAAGCCUGGGAAACUGGGUCUAAUACCGGAUAGGAGCGUCCACCGCAUGGUGGGUGUUGGAAAGAUUUAUCGGUUUUGGAUGGACUCGCGGCCUAUCAGCUUGUUGGUGAGGUAAUGGCUCACCAAGGCGACGACGGGUAGCCGGCCUGAGGGGGUGACCGGCCACACUGGGACUGAGACACGGCCCAGACUCCUACGGGAGGCAGCAGUGGGGGAUAUUGCACAAUGGGCGCAAGCCUGAUGCAGCGACGCCGCGUGAGGGAUGACGGCCUUCGGGUUGUAAACCUCUUUCAGUAGGGAAGAAGCGAAAGUGACGGUACCUGCAGAAGAAGCACCGGCUAACUACGUG
Molecule: ribosomal RNA, 466 nt
Filed under: uncultured bacterium
Lineage: Bacteria
Description: partial 16S ribosomal RNA
Rfam family: Bacterial small subunit ribosomal RNA
Source: RNAcentral